This 252-nucleotide long non-coding RNA is filed under the name Linum usitatissimum (flax). RNAcentral's name for it is "long non-coding RNA (LUSI_LNC007878)". The record is from RNAcentral. Lineage: Eukaryota; Viridiplantae; Streptophyta; Magnoliopsida; Malpighiales; Linaceae.
AACUAACAAUGCUAGACUUAGAAGGACUUUUGUUUCCAAUGGACAGAAAAGACACACAAAACAUACUAUAAAGAAACAAAAGGAAGGUACUUCAGAGUACCUUUUCUUUAUGGCUCUGGAUUUUGGUUUGUGGUUUGGUUUUGGUUCAAACCAUUACCUGGCCAAACAGAGCAAAUAAGAAGCAGCAGCAAGCAUACCAAAUACUCGAACCCUGGGUCUAUGCCCAGGUAAUAGCUGGCAGGAAAACCAGCG